Molecule: ribosomal RNA, 461 nt
Filed under: uncultured bacterium
Lineage: Bacteria
Description: partial 16S ribosomal RNA
Rfam family: Bacterial small subunit ribosomal RNA
Source: RNAcentral
GACGAACGCUGGCGGCGUGCUUAACACAUGCAAGUCGAGCGGAAAGGCCCUUCGGGGUACUCGAGCGGCGAACGGGUGAGUAACACGUGAGUAACCUGCCCCAGACUUUGGGAUAACCCUCGGAAACGGGGGCUAAUACCGGAUACGACACAGCUUCGCAUGGGGUCUGUGUGGAAAGUUUUUCGGUUUGGGAUGGGCUCGCGGCCUAUCAGCUUGUUGGUGGGGUGAUGGCCUACCAAGGCGACGACGGGUAGCCGGCCUGAGAGGGCGACCGGCCACACGGGGACGGAAACACGGCCCAGCCCCCUCCGGGGGGCAGAGGGGGGGAAAUUUCAAAAAGGGGGGGAACCCUGAUGCGGCGACGCGGGGGGGGGGAUGACGGCUUUGGGGUUGAAACCCUUUUUCGGGGGGGAGGAAGCGUAAGUGACGGUACCUGCAAAAGAAGCCCCGGCCAACUACGU